Long non-coding RNA from Pseudoliparis swirei, 1059 nucleotides. RefSeq lists it as uncharacterized. NCBI's taxonomy places the organism in Eukaryota, Metazoa, Chordata, Actinopteri, Perciformes, Liparidae. The transcript is spliced from 5 exons. The record is from RefSeq and is a predicted model, not a curated record.
AUUAUAGCUGAGUUAUAACAAUAGAGAGAUGUGUUCAUUGUGUUAUUGCUCCUGCUCAGGAAGAAGAGAAAUACAAUCUUGUGAUAGAUUCACCUACUAUGCUCUCCUACAGCAAUAAACACCUCUGCACCGACAUACAAGCCCUAAUUUAGCCGUAAAUCAUCUUAUUUUUAUUUGUAGGAAUAUCAUGCACAAGCAUGAUAUGGAAGAGCAAUAUUUAGUCUAAAAUAGUUGUUAUUUCAAAACGGUAAGAGCCAGAUCAGUGGUGGCAGGCAGAUUGCUGUCUGUGAUUCUGAAGUAGGUUAAAAGAGAUCAGGCUAUGACCGUACAGUAUAUUUAUCUCUUUAUACACACUCUUUAUACCUAAUUAUUCACAUAUAUAACUGUGAACAUUAAUUAAAACAACUGUUUCCCUUGUUUUCAAUGUGUCUCAGUCACAACAAAUCUAAAAUAAAGUAAGGAUUCCCCAAUCUCGUAUAAAAACUACAUAUCCCGUCAUGCAAUGGGUGAGCUGCUCGGCGCAAGCGUAUAUAAAGGUCACGGGACCCUCUCUUCCUUUACCAAGCUUCCGGGAGGAGAACAGCAAAGCUUCAUUCCUCGGUUAAUGUUGGCUUGAGGCUAACGUGGGAACCACGUGGCAGGGACUCCUCCAAAAACAUGUAGUUUCUCGUCAGGUUCCUCCUGAAGCAGCAGCAGCUCCACCUGACUGCUCAUGGCUCUCUGUGCAGGAUGCAGGAAUGGGAGCACGUGGAAGGGUGGGACAUGAAGAUUACAUCACCUGAAGGUGACCCUCAUGGCUGAGUCACACGUGACUGGAUGAGACCGUCUCACUGAAAGGAAUCUAUCUGGUGGCCUUGCCCAAUGGACUGUAAUGGCUCCCUGGUUGGAAGUGGCUUUUGCAGCCCAGCCUAAAGUCUUCAGUUAAAAGUGUCUGGGGACAGCGUUGCAGGAGGAGGCAACGGACAGACUUCGCUAUGAAGUUAUAUCUUUAUAACUCAUGUGGUCAGAGUUGAGAGUGUGUGUGCUAUCAUUGGAAUGAAAUAAAACAUCUGGCAACUA